UACGUAGGGUGCGAGCGUUGUCCGGAAUUAUUGGGCGUAAAGAGCGUGUAGGUGUUCCUACAAGUCGGUCGUUAAAUCUCAGAGCUCAACUCUGAGGCCGCGAGCGAAACUGUAGGAAUUGAGGUUUACAGGGGCAAGCAGAAUUUCUGGAGUAGGGGUGAAAUCCGUUGAUACCAGAAGGAAUACCAAUGGCGAAGGCAGCUUGCUGGGUAACACCUGACACUGAGACGCGAAAGCGUGGGGAGCAAACGGG
RNAcentral lists this ribosomal RNA (253 nucleotides) under uncultured bacterium. RNAcentral describes it as "partial 16S ribosomal RNA". It matches the Rfam family "Bacterial small subunit ribosomal RNA", at positions 524 to 776 of the family's 1533-position model. The record is from RNAcentral.